RNAcentral lists this ribosomal RNA (109 nucleotides) under Patagioenas fasciata monilis. The record is from RNAcentral. Lineage: Eukaryota; Metazoa; Chordata; Aves; Columbiformes; Columbidae.
AUAUACAGGCAUAGCACCCUGAGAAUGGCUGGUCUGGGAAGCUAAGCAGGGUCGGACCCGGUCAGCACUUGGAUGGGAGACCAGCUGGGAAUAGCGGGUGCUGUAUGGU